CGAACCAAGUCCCGCCGAGACGCCGGCCGCGGCGAGCGGCCCCGGGGGAUUACCCGGGGGCGCGCGUCCGGGCGAGCUCCGAACGACCCCUCUGGGCGCGGCGAGCGCCAAGGAAUAGAAGCGGAAAGGGCGGCCGCCCCGCCCGGCGCGAGCGACGCUGCGCCGGCGUGGGGAUCCGCCGCCCGUCUGUGGACCAUUUUGCAGACGACUCUCGGCAACGGAUAUCUCGGCUCUCGCAUCGAUGAAGAACGUAGCGAAAUGCGAUACUUGGUGUGAAUUGCAGAAUCCCGCGAACCAUCGAGUCUUUGAACGCAAGUUGCGCCCGAGGCCACUCGGCCGAGGGCACGCCUGCCUGGGCGUCACGCCACCCGUCGCCCCCUCCCGCGGCACUCACGUGCCCGGCCUGGGAGCGGAGACUGGCCGUCCGUGCCCGAGUCCUCGGCGCGCGGUCGGCUGAAAAGGAGGACACCGUGCGGCGCGGCACGGCGCGUGGGGGUUGAGAGGCGAUCCGUCGCCGAUCGUCGGCCGUCCCGCCGCGCGCGGCGUCACCCGUGGGACCGGACUCGCCCGCGGCCGCGGGCGCUCGGACCGCGACCCCAGGUCAGGCGCGGCCACCCGCUGAAUUUAAGCAUAUCAAUAAGC
RNAcentral lists this ribosomal RNA (642 nucleotides) under Litsea caulocarpa. RNAcentral describes it as "eukaryotic LSU rRNA". The stretch from base 207 to 362 matches the Rfam family "5.8S ribosomal RNA". Lineage: Eukaryota; Viridiplantae; Streptophyta; Magnoliopsida; Laurales; Lauraceae. The record is from RNAcentral.